Molecule: long non-coding RNA, 693 nt
Organism: Ipomoea nil (Japanese morning glory)
Lineage: Eukaryota; Viridiplantae; Streptophyta; Magnoliopsida; Solanales; Convolvulaceae
Exons: 3
Source: RefSeq, a predicted model, not a curated record
CAAUUCAAUCCAAUCCAAUAUCAAAAGCUUCAGGUAUACUGAAACUUUUAAGACUGUAUCGCCAUUUUUUAUUUUUUUUUUUUGAGGAAGUAUCGCCAUUUUUAGUACAGAGUUCAAACAUUAUUUCAAAAUCCUAAGUUCCUAACCUAAAAUCCCAAAAUCCCUAAAAUCUCUCAGAUUCUAGAAUCAGCAGAACGCCAAGGCCGACGGCGACAACGUUUUGGCUGGAUCAGAUGGGAUUCUGGAGUAGAGGAGUAGUUGCUGAUAAAUGGUCUGGGAGGAUUUUGUGGCUCUGUGCAAUUGGGAGUGCAGUUGGCCUCUAUAUGGUUGUUGUGGAAAGACAACUGCAAAAUAGAGAAAAGAUGAUGGCAGAAUCGUUGGCGGCUGCAGAAGGAAAUCCUAACGGUGGAGAAAAUUAACGAUCUCUGUAAGUGGAAAUCUGUUGGAAUACAUAAAAAUAUAUGUUGAAAGAAUUCUUAUUUCGUUUAGCAUUCCCCUAGCAUUUGCCCACUUAAGCUGCGUUUUUGACAACUUGUAAUAAUAUGCUUGUGAUUUCAAGCAAAAAUGUUUUUCUUUUGAAUUCGUGUUGUGGAUUUUGGUGUAUAACCAUUACCAUUAGAUCAAGAGGUUGUUGAUGAAAACCAUUCUUGUAAAUCAUAAGCUUUGUCUCAAUUCUUGAAAUUAUUAGGGUUU